This 114-nucleotide non-coding RNA is filed under the name Chitinophaga ginsengisegetis. Its description in RNAcentral is "SAM-I sequence". It matches the Rfam family "SAM riboswitch aptamer (S box leader)". From Rfam's summary of the family: The SAM riboswitch is found upstream of a number of genes which code for proteins involved in methionine or cysteine biosynthesis in Gram-positive bacteria. The SAM riboswitch acts at the level of transcription termination control. The record is from Rfam by way of RNAcentral. Lineage: Bacteria; Pseudomonadati; Bacteroidota; Chitinophagia; Chitinophagales; Chitinophagaceae.
AGCUUAUCAAGAAAGGAGGAGGGACAUGGCCCGACGAUACCUUAGCAACCAUCACUGUGCAAACAGUGAAAGGUGCUGCAUCCAUCCCGGUUUACGGACCAGGAAAGAUAAGUC